RNAcentral lists this long non-coding RNA (756 nucleotides) under Sus scrofa (pig). RNAcentral's name for it is "lncRNA (ENSSSCG00015066190.1)". The record is from RNAcentral. Lineage: Eukaryota; Metazoa; Chordata; Mammalia; Artiodactyla; Suidae.
GAGAGAGGGAAAGAGACAGAGCCUGGCAUCUCCCCACAUAUGCUGCACGUCUUGUGCUCUUCAUCUCUUCCUGUAGAUCUGAGUUACCAUCUGCCACUUCCCUUCACUCUAAAACUUCCUUCAGUCCAAGUCUGCUGGCAACGAACUUCCUCAGUUUUUGUUUAUCUGGAAAUGUCUUUAUUUCUCAUUUUUGAAAGAUAGUUUCUCCGGACACUGAGGUUUUGCUUGUAUUGUCGGUGAGCCUCCUGGACUGAAUCUGCUGGAUCUGUCCCUCCAUGUUGUGCAGCCAUGAUGUUUCUGCUCAGGGCCUCUGCUACACGUCUGACCAGUCUACUGUCUGACCCCAGUGGGGCAGCUAUUUAGGCUGCCAGAGCUGCCUGUUCACUUGCUGCUGAGAUCCAACUGGUACUGACGAUGCCAGUGGGCGGGGCUUUUCACCUUCGGCUCCAAAUCAAGUGCUGCCGCCCCCCGCCCGCCCCGNNNNNNNNNNNNNNNNCAACGAUGACGGAACUACUACACUGAUGGGGGGUUAGAGGUGGCAGGGGGUAGUCCCCAGCCAAGAACAUGAGAAACUCCCCCUGCGGGGGGUGGACAGGGAAGGAGGGAGUUUGGGGUCAGCUGUUAAAUACUGGAUGGAGAACAACAGGUCCCACUGCGUGGCGUGGGAACCAACGAGACGCAAUCCCCUCCCACAAACCAUAACGGAGGAAAACGUGAGAAAGAAUAUACAUGUGUAUAACUGGGUCCCUUUGCUGU